GGAAUCUUGGACAAUGGGCGAAAGCCUGAUCCAGCCAUGCCGCGUGAAUGAUGAAGGCCUUAGGGUUGUAAAAUUCUUUCAGCAGGGAAGAUAAUGACGGUACCUGCAGAAGAAGCCCCGGCUAACUCCGUGCCAGCAGCCGCGGUAAUACGGAGGGGGCUAGCGUUGUUCGGAAUUACUGGGCGUAAAGCGCUCGUAGGCGGAUUGGUCAGUCAGAGGUGAAAUCCCGGAGCUCAACUCCGGAACUGCCUUUGAUACUGCCAGUCUUGAGUUCGGGAGAGGUGAGCGGAAUACCGAGUGUAGAGGUGAAAUUCGUAGAUAUUCGGUGGAACACCAGAGGCGAAGGCGGCUCACUGGACCGAUACUGACGCUGAGGAGCGAAAGCGUGGGGAGCAAACAGGAUUAGAUACCCCGGUAGUCC
RNAcentral lists this ribosomal RNA (421 nucleotides) under uncultured bacterium. RNAcentral describes it as "bacterial SSU rRNA". It matches the Rfam family "Bacterial small subunit ribosomal RNA", at positions 358 to 796 of the family's 1533-position model. The record is from RNAcentral.